CCUUCACUCAUUUCAAUCUGAAAAUUUUCAGCCGCCCCUCUUCCCUCCCUUUCCAUACCCUCUACAACCCCAUCAGCCGAACCAUUAUCAGCCGCCUCAUCAUCAUCCUUGUCUCCCAACCCCAGGCCGAACCACCAUCAUCCUUCUCCCAACCUCAGGCCGAACCACCAUCAGAGAAAACCUCCAAGACCCAAGACCCAAGCCGAACCACCAUCAGUGAACCUCCGACCUAUCCGACACAACCCCAAGACCCAGGCCGAACCUCUGACCUUGCUCCCUCGUGGCUCGGACUCCCUCUCGGCUCUCUCUCCAGACGGUCGGCCACAACACAGAAGAACCUCUGUGUUUGAUUGUAGAAGAAAGCAAGAGAAGGAAGCGUUUUGAGGGUUCGGUGCAAGAAUAGCCUAUACAAAAAUAACUGUUUUGUCCUAAGUUGAGAAGAAGAAAGAACACACCAAGAACCGGCCAAAAAAUUGAAGGAGUAUCUCUUGGAAAUUCGGUCACUGGAGUAUAAUAUAAUUUUGUGGCAUCAAUGUAUUUAUUUUUUAAUUAUGUUAUUGGUUUAAUUAAUAUAAUUAAUAUGUGAAUGUGUGUACAAAGUAAGAUGUGUUUAGUUAUAUAUUUAUAUAUGUGUA
Molecule: long non-coding RNA, 635 nt
Organism: Humulus lupulus (European hop)
Lineage: Eukaryota; Viridiplantae; Streptophyta; Magnoliopsida; Rosales; Cannabaceae
Exons: 4
Source: RefSeq, a predicted model, not a curated record